AGCAGCCGCGGUAAUUCCAGCCCCAAUAGCGUAUAUUAAAGUUGUUGCAGUUAAAAGCUCGUAGUUGAAUUUCGGGAUCAAUGUUUCGGUCAUGCCGUUGGUAUGUACUGAUAUUAUUGAUUUCUCACCUUCUAAAGAACCGUAAUGCCAUUAAUUUGGUGUCACGGGGAAUUAGGACUGUUACCUUGAAAAAUUAGAGUGUUUAAAGCAGGCUCACGCUUGAAUACAUUAGCAUGGAAUAAUGAAAUAGGACAUCCGAUUCUAUUUUGUGGUUUCUAGGAUCGAUGUAAUGAUUAAUAGGGAUAGUUGGGGCAUUAGUAUUCAAUU
Molecule: ribosomal RNA, 327 nt
Filed under: uncultured Glomeromycotina
Lineage: Eukaryota; Fungi; Glomeromycota
Description: SSU rRNA
Rfam family: Eukaryotic small subunit ribosomal RNA
Source: RNAcentral